CCAGACUCCUACGGGAGGCAGCAGUGGGGGAUAUUGCACAAUGGGGGGAACCCUGAUGCAGCGACGCCGCGUGGGUGAAGGAGCGUUUCGGCAUGUAAAGCCCUAUCGGCAGGGAAGAAGCAAGACGGUACCUGACUAAGAAGCCCCGGCUAACUACGUGCCAGCAGCCGCGGUAAUACGUAGGGGGCGAGCGUUAUCCGGAUUCACUGGGUGUAAAGGGAGCGUAGACGGCCAUGCAAGCCAGGGGUGAAAGCCCGGGGCCCAACCCCGGGACUGCCCUUGGAACUGCAUGGCUGGAGUGCGGGAGGGGCAGGCGGAAUUCCUGGUGUAGCGGUGAAAUGCGUAGAUAUCAGGAGGAACACCGGCGGCGAAGGCGGCCUGCUGGACCGCGACUGACGUUGAGGCUCGAAAGCGUGGGGAGCGAACAGGAUUAGAUACCCCGGUAUCG
This 448-nucleotide ribosomal RNA is filed under the name uncultured bacterium. Its description in RNAcentral is "bacterial SSU rRNA". It matches the Rfam family "Bacterial small subunit ribosomal RNA", at positions 331 to 793 of the family's 1533-position model. The record is from RNAcentral.